GCCUGUUGCUGAAGAUUCAGAACUAGCAGCAACACCAAAACAAAAAGAUCAAGCUGGGGUGACAUUGUAACGAGAACUUCUCAGCUGGAGUUAAUUGAUUUGAACAAUUCAAGUCCACCAGGCAAAUCAGCCCAGGACAGCUUACCACGCUGGCCGAGUUAAUUUUUUUUUCACAUAGUUUUUGAACGGCUGCGAUGUUAAGAGGAGACCAAAGGCUGUGAGAUGGAGAAAAUAGAAUUCACUGAAUGUCAAGGGACUUGCCCAGGGACACACAGUGUUGUGCUUUCUCCAUUACACAGUCACCUAAUUGAAGAUUGGCCCCAAAUCUUAUUUAUCUUGGUGUCCUAUUGGCUAAUGGCCAUGCCUCACACAUAAUAAGUAUUGAGAAAAUGAUUGUUGAUUAAAUGAAUGAAGGU
Molecule: long non-coding RNA, 416 nt
Filed under: Homo sapiens (human)
Lineage: Eukaryota; Metazoa; Chordata; Mammalia; Primates; Hominidae
Description: long independently transcribed non-coding RNA 1810 (LINC01810)
Source: RNAcentral